Molecule: ribosomal RNA, 433 nt
Filed under: uncultured bacterium
Lineage: Bacteria
Description: partial 16S ribosomal RNA
Rfam family: Bacterial small subunit ribosomal RNA
Source: RNAcentral
AACGAACGCUGGCGGCAGGCCUAACACAUGCAAGUCGAGCGGACCUUUCGGGGUCAGCGGCGGACGGGUGAGUAACGCGUGGGAAUAUGCCCUUCUCUACGGAAUAGUCCUGGGAAACUGGGGGUAAUACCGUAUACGCCCUUUGGGGGAAAGAUUUAUCGGGGAAGGAUUAGCCCGCGUUGGAUUAGGUAGUUGGUGGGGUAAUGGCCUACCAAGCCGACGAUCCAUAGCUGGGUUGAGAGGAUGAUCAGCCACACUGGGACUGAGACACGGCCCAGACUCCUACGGGAAGCAGCAGUGGGGAAUCUUAGACAAUGGGGGCAACCCUGAUCUAGCCAGGCCGCGUGAGUGAUGAAGGCCUUAGGGUUGUAAAGCUCUUUCAGCUGGGAAGAUAAUGACGGUACCAGCAGAAGAAGCCCCGGCUAACUCCGUG